GUGGGGAAUAUUGGACAAUGGGGGGAACCCUGAUCCAGCCAUGCCGCGUGUGUGAAGAAGGCCUUUUGGUUGUAAAGCACUUUAAGCGAGGAGGAGGCUACUGGUACUAAUACUACCAGCUAGUGGACGUUACUCGCAGAAUAAGCACCUGCUAACUCUGUGCCAGCAGCCGCGGUAAUACAGAGGGUGCGAGCGUUAAUCGGAUUUACUGGGCGUAAAGCGUGCGUAGGUGGCUUUUUAAGCCAAAUGUGAAAUCCCCGAGCUUAACUUGGGAAUUGCAUUCGAUACUGGAAAGCUAGAGUAUGGGAGAGGAUGGUAGAAUUCCAGGUGUAGCGGUGAAAUGCGUAGAGAUCUUGAGGAAUACCGAUGGCGAAGGCAGCCAUCUGGCCUAAUACUGACACUGAGGUACGAAAGCAUGGGGAGCAAACAGG
This 431-nucleotide ribosomal RNA is filed under the name uncultured bacterium. RNAcentral describes it as "bacterial SSU rRNA". It matches the Rfam family "Bacterial small subunit ribosomal RNA", at positions 354 to 776 of the family's 1533-position model. The record is from RNAcentral.